This 371-nucleotide ribosomal RNA is filed under the name uncultured bacterium. RNAcentral's name for it is "bacterial SSU rRNA". It matches the Rfam family "Bacterial small subunit ribosomal RNA", at positions 527 to 896 of the family's 1533-position model. The record is from RNAcentral.
GAAGGGUGCAAGCGUUACUCGGAAUUACUGGGCGUAAAGCGUGCGUAGGUGGUGAGUUAAGUCUGUCGUGAAAGCCCCGGGCUCAACCUGGGAAUGGCGAUGGAUACUGGCUCGCUAGAGUGCGGUAGAGGAGAGUGGAAUUCCCGGUGUAGCAGUGAAAUGCGUAGAGAUCGGGAGGAACAUCAGUUGCGAAGGCGGCUCUCUGGACCAGCACUGACACUGAGGCACGAAAGCGUGGGAAGCAAACAGGAUUAGAUACCCUGGUAGUCCACGCCCUAAACGAUGCGAACUGGACGUUGGGAGCAACUAGGCUCUCAGUGUCGAAGCUAACGCGUUAAGUUCGCCGCCUGGGGAGUACGGUCGCAAGACUG